AGGGUUCGGCUUCGUAGGUGACCUGCGGAGGAUCAUUAAAUAAUCAAUAAUUUUGGCUUGUCCAUCAUUAUCUAUUUACUGUGAACUGUAUUAUUACUUGACGCUUGAGGGAUGUUCCAAUGCUAUAAGGAUAGGCACUGGAAAUGUUAACCGAGUCAUAAUCAAGCUUAGGCUUGGUAUCCUAUUAUUAUUUACCAAAAGAAUUCAGAAUUAAUAUUGUAACAUAGACGUAAAAAAUCUAUAAAACAACUUUUAACAACGGAUCUCUUGGUUCUCGCAUCGAUGAAGAACGUAGCAAAGUGCGAUAACUAGUGUGAAUUGCAUAUUCAGUGAAUCAUCGAGUCUUUGAACGCAACUUGCGCUCAUUGGUAUUCCAAUGAGCACGCCUGUUUCAGUAUCAAAACAAACCCUCUAUCCAACUUUUGUUGAAUAGGAUGACUGAGAGUCUCUUGAUCUAUUUUGAUCUUGAACCUCUUGAAAUGUACAAAGGCCUGAUCUUGUUUGAAUGCCUGAACUUUUUUUUAAUAUAAAGAGAAGCUCUUGCGAUAAAACUGUGCUGGGGCCUCCCAAAUAACACAUCUUUAAAUUUGAUCUGAAAUCAGGUGGGAUUACCCGCUGAACUUAAGCAUAUCUGAAGGCGGGAGAGAAAAAA
RNAcentral lists this ribosomal RNA (652 nucleotides) under Mucor fragilis. RNAcentral describes it as "eukaryotic LSU rRNA". The stretch from base 248 to 400 matches the Rfam family "5.8S ribosomal RNA". The record is from RNAcentral. Lineage: Eukaryota; Fungi; Mucoromycota; Mucoromycetes; Mucorales; Mucoraceae.